UACGUAGGGUGCAAGCGUUAAUCGGAAUUACUGGGCGUAAAGCGUGCGCAGGCGGUUGUGCAAGUCAGAUGUGAAAUCCCCGGGCUUAACCUGGGAAUGGCAUUUGUGACUGCACGGCUAGAGUGCGUCAGAGGGGGGUAGAAUUCCACGUGUAGCAGUGAAAUGCGUAGAUAUGUGGAGGAAUACCGAUGGCGAAGGCAGCCCCCUGGGAUGACACUGACGCUCAUGCACGAAAGCGUGGGGAGCAAACAGG
RNAcentral lists this ribosomal RNA (253 nucleotides) under uncultured bacterium. RNAcentral's name for it is "partial 16S ribosomal RNA". It matches the Rfam family "Bacterial small subunit ribosomal RNA", at positions 524 to 776 of the family's 1533-position model. The record is from RNAcentral.